AUGGCUUUCAUGAACACUCUUCAUGGUGAAGCUCGUGCUCGUUUUAGUGAUCUCCUUAAAUCACUCGCCGGACGCGAUGAUUUUAUUGAGAACGUCGAAAACCUCCUCAUAGAGGAAAAAGAGAGAGUCGAACUCCUCGAGCACGAGCUAUAUGAAGAGAGUGUCAUGAGAGCAUCACUUGAGGAAGCCUUGUCUUCUCAUAAAAUUGACUUCGUUAAAACCGAUGAUGUGUUGCAACUUGCUCUUGAGAACAACGAUGCCCUUAAAGUAAGGGUUGAAAAGCUUCUAAUUGAUCACACGAGACUUGUUGAGGAACAUGAGCUCCUUGUGACUAGUUCCAAGGUUGUCAAAGGUGACCUCAUUGCCCUCACCGAGUCGUAUGCUCAACUUAAAGCUACAACCAUUAAGGCUCUUACUUCCGUCCCUCAUAUUGAUUUAAAUGAUGAAUCUUGUACGGCUAACUUUGCUCAUGAUUGCACCUCUCUCCAAGAGGAGAAUAAGAAGUUAAAAGCCCAAAUUGAGAAAGGGCUUGUGUCGUGCAUUCAAGGGGAGAAAAACCUCAAUGACCUCUUGAGCAACCAAAAGGAGUGUGUUGCCAAGGAGGGAAUUGGGUUUGACCCCUCUUCUAAGAAGAAGAAGACCAAGAAGAAGAGCAACAAGAAGAAGAUCGGUCCUACUUCUCCUCCCCAACAAAAGAUAGCAUUUGUUCAUGAAGGACACAAGGAGAAGGAGAAGGAAAAAGGGAAUGUCGGGGAUGGCAAGGUCACUAGGGACAAGGCCAUUCCCAAAGAGUUUGCCGGCAAGAACAACCCAUCUUAUGUCCUCAUGAGAGGAAAUGAUGGUCAUACCUUUGCUAAAUUUGUUGGCACUAACUAUGAUGAUUAUGCUUGGAGUAUUUGGGUUCCUAAGACCCUUAUUGCUAACUCUCUAGGACCCAUUGCAAAAUGGGGACCUAAAAUCAAAGCUUGA
RNAcentral lists this ribosomal RNA (969 nucleotides) under Triticum aestivum (bread wheat). RNAcentral describes it as "partial small subunit ribosomal RNA". The record is from RNAcentral. Lineage: Eukaryota; Viridiplantae; Streptophyta; Magnoliopsida; Poales; Poaceae.